RNAcentral lists this small RNA (598 nucleotides) under Pan troglodytes (chimpanzee). Its description in RNAcentral is "retained intron". The record is from RNAcentral. Lineage: Eukaryota; Metazoa; Chordata; Mammalia; Primates; Hominidae.
AGACAAAUAAACAUGGAGUCCAUCUUCCACGAGAAACAAGAAGGCUCACUUUGUGCUCAGCAUUGCCUGAAUAACUUAUUGCAAGGAGAAUAUUUUAGCCCUGUGGAAUUAUCCUCAAUUGCACAUCAGCUGGAUGAGGAGGAGAGGAUGAGAAUGGCAGAAGGAGGAGUUACUAGUGAAGAUUAUCGCACGUUUUUACAGGUACUGAUUUUAAACUCACUAAGUCACAUUUCUUUUUUUUUUUUUUUUUUGAGACGGAGUCUCGCCCUGUCGCCCAUGCUGGAGUGCAAUGGCGCGAUCUCGGCUCACUGCAACCUCUGCCUCCCGGGUUCAAGCGAUUCUCCUGCCUCAGCCUCCCAAGUAGCUGGGAUUACAGGCACCCGCCACUAUGCCCGGCUAAUUUUUUGUAUCUUUGUUAGAGAUGGGGUUUCACCAUGUUGGUCAGGUUGGUCUCAAACUCCUGACCUUAUGAUCCACCUGUCUCGGCCUCCCAAGGUGCUGGGAUUAUAGGUGUGAGCCACCACACCCGGCUUACAUUUCUUUUAAAAAUGUGGAUACCAUUUAGAAAAGGAUGGGCCAUUCUUCCUAUAGGGAUCUG